UAUUGCGCGCUUCCUCGAAAGCGCGGGUUUAUGUGUAGGAGAUCGUCUUAAUGGCGCGUAUUGCAGGCGUUAAUAUUCCGGAC
Molecule: non-coding RNA, 83 nt
Organism: Gammaproteobacteria bacterium RBG_16_57_12
Lineage: Bacteria; Pseudomonadati; Pseudomonadota; Gammaproteobacteria
Source: Rfam